Molecule: ribosomal RNA, 253 nt
Filed under: uncultured bacterium
Lineage: Bacteria
Description: partial 16S ribosomal RNA
Rfam family: Bacterial small subunit ribosomal RNA
Source: RNAcentral
UACGUAGGGUGCGAGCGUUAAUCGGAAUUACUGGGCGUAAAGUGUGCGCAGGCGGCCGAGCAAGUCGAGUGUGAAAGCCCCGAGCUUAACUUGGGAAUUGCGCUCGAAACUACUUGGCUGGAGUGUGGCAGAGGAAGGUGGAAUUCCAGGUGUAGCGGUGAAAUGCGUAGAUAUCUGGAGGAACACCGGUGGCGAAGGCGCCCACCUGGCCUGCUACUGACGCUGAAGCUCGAAAGCUAGGGGAGCAAACGGG